RNAcentral lists this ribosomal RNA (3041 nucleotides) under Triticum aestivum (bread wheat). RNAcentral describes it as "partial small subunit ribosomal RNA". Lineage: Eukaryota; Viridiplantae; Streptophyta; Magnoliopsida; Poales; Poaceae. The record is from RNAcentral.
UUUUUUCCACAACACUUACUCCUUUAGUUUCACAGGGCGUCACUGUUACGUCGGGUAGUCGCUGCCGGAGAUUUCGGGUGAUCUUGUUGGUGGUUACCUGCCUGGGUCUCUCGAAAGAGAGACAGGGCGAAAGGAGAGGUUGGGGUGGCCGGUGGGGGCGGUAGAGGUUCGGUGGGCUUGGCCGCCGGUACAGCUCCAAGACCUCUGGCCCCAGCCUCUUCGGCUCGCGGAGCGAGCAGCUGCUGCUCCUCCCGCCGCAUGAGAAGGAGGGCUGGUUGUGGUUGCGAAGGAGGAGGAGGAGGCCGAAGCCCAUGCGCAGGAACCUCUCCGACUCCGUCGCCGACGGCCACAUGUUCAUGGCGUUCCGGUAGGAGAUGGACCACCUCGCCGUACGGUGCUGGUAGUAGCAGCCGCUCUGCCCAUCGCCGUUCAGGUGCGUCUAGGGAGUCAUAGAGUUCCUCCGACCAACCCGACUCCCGCCAGCUGAAUAUCCAACGUGGGUCGGUUCUUCUAACCGACACGUCUGCCAACGUAGUUCUCAUCGACUUCUUCAACCACACUUUGAACCUCUUCUUCACCCUAUAUGUUAUUCUAAACUCCUACUUUGUUUGGGCCCGUACUGAUACUAGUUUAAAGAGUGUCUACCCCAUGACUAAUCUCUUUACUACCUUCUAGGAGAAGACUCGUUUAUAUCACAGUAAUACUAUCUACUUCGAGUACUUUCUAGGUAAAGUUGGCUGUAUAACGACCCUGAGGACUUUUUCUAAGUUGCGGCAGCCGGUCUCAACGCGGAUUAGUAAAGGAGACGUUGUUAACUUCGUUCUAGUUACAGUUGGAAAAAGUCGUUAUCCGCCUUCUUAAGCAACGAGUUCGGACGACUACCAAACGGUUUAGGUCUUGGACGAUAUGAAAGACAACUUCCAUCUCCUAUGUGUCAUCUUUGAGUAAUAGACCUUCUCGGACAGAGUCUGAUGAAUGUCCGACGACACUUAUGACAAGAAUAAUAAGUGCUUUUCCUUGGUGGUCCCCUAUAAAACCACAAAAAUUGACCGGUCCUACUGUAUCUACGACGAGAAUUCAACGAUUUACUACUUUAAGUUGUAGACCCUUUUGUGAUAAAGCUAAACCACUAAAACGGGAACAUGAGACCGGAAGGUGCCCCUCUGGUUCUAGAGUAGAAACGAGGAUGAAGCUUUCCCUUUUCUUUUCAACACUAUAGUUGUUUGUAACGACUCUGUAGUAACUGAGACCUCCCCCACCACAUGCAACAACUAUCACCUAAAAGGUUCGUCUUCACAAUAUUGGGCUAAAGACUGGAUCUCUCAGAUCAACAGCGUGGUUAUAGCUUUCGAAGACGUUCCGUUGCUCGUCCGUCUCGACCUUCCCAUGCUGGACCCUUUACGAAAUCCGAAAUGUGUCUCCUUAUAAUGGAUUUACUUUACGUCAGUCUACCGUAAGGUCUUUACGUUUCCAGAUUGGAACAAAGGACGUAUUAUGUCAACUUUCGCGAUCCGUAUCUGUUGUAGAACCCUAAACUAACCGGUCGAAGAGGUAGUGGUCUCCGUUACUAGGCCCGAGAGCUUUAAGAUAAAAGUGAUCCUUAGGAACUACUUCUACGGUUUGAUUGUCAAGGGUAACCAAAGGUUCAACGACUCUACGGAGACCUGGGGUACUAGAGUUUUUACUAGAACAGUCGUUUACUAAAACCUACGAGACUACUCUAUAACUGCUAUCGUCGUAAAGAUAGACAAGUCAGACACACCCAAAGAUACGCCCCUCACUUCUUCCUUAAACUACUCCGGUUUGAAGCCAAACGACGACGACUCCCACUAGUACAUUGCAAGGACUUAUAGAUGUUUCCUAAAGUGGUCAGACCUUUUAGAUCAGUCACCACAAUGUUCUUGAAAAACUUAGUGGUUCGUGACUUCUUCCAGUAACUUUAGUCCCGUGUCGAACAGUCCCAAUACUUCUCCAAACCGUAUGUCGACUUUAGAACGCUGUCUCUAUACGUCCGUCAAUCUUUCCGGUAAUAACGACCAAGCAAACGAUUAAGUACAGUAGACCUCCUUAUACCGGUCUUACCUUACAUAUUUUGUUAAUCCUGCAGUGUUCUUCAAAUGUAAGUAGGUAGAAGGCGUGAGAAGUCCAUUCAAAUCGUCCUCAUAAAAAAAUGAUAUAAGCUGUAAAUAAACCCACUGAAACACCGUAUCGAGGAACACGUGAAGAAACCCUUGUUACGAGGAAUACGUGAAGUACUGUAAAGGGACUGCAAAAUCCCAAUUAGGCUUCACCCAGCAGAUGGUCAGAGAACAAAGUUGACUGUUCGUGAUAUACGCAUUACAAUAACGGUAACUUGGUAGUACCGAAUGACUUCGACGUGGUGUAAAGAUGGUCAAGGCUUGUGGGUUAGGUCGAGGCGUGAUUGAAUUGACACACAUGAUUCCAACCGACCCCAGAGUAGUAAAACCAGUCAGGUAAACCCGGUCGGUCAUAUGUCUAGUCAUACCGAACAAGAAUAGUUUAUAAUUGAUGAAACUUCUUUUAGUUAACCUCCGUUUCUUUCUUAGAAGGUAGAACAUCUCCGUGUCCAAAAAGGUUUGAUUGCCUUCGGUGGUACAAACAUAUAUUAAACCUGAAUACCACGAUAGGACAACAAAUCGCGAUCCUCAUAUAAAACACAGGGGUAAUAGAUACGACGUAACGGGUAUGAUCAUAGUUCACGGGAAAUCAAUAUACCCCAAACGCUUCUGAAUAAGGUCUUUUUAGUAAACUUCUAAACUGCUCAUCAUCGACUCAAUGUAAGAUCUAAAAUAACACUUCAAUUAAUUUGAUGUUGUCAUAAAACUAGACUCGGCGUCCUACAUGGCAUCCGUUUACUUUACGAGAACAUAACGCGUAUCGAAGUCAAAUACAAGGAAACUCUGUAGCUUAUCGUCGUCGUCAUCAUAAAUGAAGAAAGUCACAAACACAUUAGGGUCACACUUACGACAGAAUUUAUGAAUACGUGUACCUAGGUCGAAAAAACCAGAAAACCCUGCACG